This is a non-coding RNA of Punica granatum (pomegranate), 1638 nucleotides long. Lineage: Eukaryota; Viridiplantae; Streptophyta; Magnoliopsida; Myrtales; Lythraceae. The record is from RefSeq and is a predicted model, not a curated record.
AGCAAAAACAGGGGAAGAGAGAGAGAGAGGGAGAGGGAGAGAGAGAAUAGGAUGAAGUGGGAGGAACCUGCAGAAGCAGAGGAAUCUCCGUGCAUGUCCCUGAAAGUCCGAUCCUGUGGUCACCUGUUUCCCUUCCAACCUCUCUUUAUCUGAGAUUUUGGUUAUAGGUUUGAAGGUUAAACAAUUUGAGGAAGUUUCAUGGGAUUUAUUUUCAUCUAAGACUCGAAACGAGGGAUUGAGGAGACCGAAUAUCUGGAUUCUAAAGGCUCGAGCCAGUGAACUAUUCUUUUGGGAAUUAUCUAUAAGCUUCUAGCUGCGCGGAAGAACCACUUUUUGAUAUCGGGGAUCAGCUCGGAGAACUAGGUAAGGACUUUAGUUAUUUGAUAGAUAUUCUUUUUGUAUAGAAUGGAUUUGAAAAUGUUACGAUCUGAAAAUUUUGUUUAGUGUAUUAUUGAUGUUUAGAAUUUGCUGGAUUGAUUAUAUAUAUUUUGGGGGAUUUAUGGAAAAUAGGAUUUUAUGCAAAUAGUUUUUACGUGAUAAUGGAUUGGAGGAAAUAUAGGGGAAAUUUUGCCGAAAUUUCGGGUCGUGACAGCACUCAUGAAGACAGAGAUGUUAGAAUGGAAGAGAGGUUCGUCAGGGAAGUAGGAGAAAUUCUAGACAUGUCUAUGCCAUCAAGAGCAAGUUCUCUCAGCUGCGUGAGAUUACGUAUAAGCCAUCUGAAAGUAUCAUAGUCUAUUGAUAGAAGCCUUCGAGCAUAGGAACCACAAAAAAGAUCGAGUAAAAUUAGUCCGGAAAGGUGAGAGAUCUCUAGUGGAGCAGGACCCUGGAAGGCAGAAUGAGAGAGAUUAAGAUGCGUCAUUCUGCCUAAAGUACCGAACCUGGGUGAAAUUCUUGAGCCCUUGAAAUGAUUACCAGCAAGGUUGAAACGCCAAAGAUUGGGGAGCGAGAAGAGAGUGCUGUUAAAAUGGAGGGCUCCGAGGAGCCAACUGCAACUAAGGUCGAGGCCGAUCACGUAAUUUGUUGCUGAGUGGCAUGUGAUCCCAUCCCAUGAGCAGCAAUCAGUGCCCUUCUUGCACGAGGCCGUCUUUGGAUAUGAAGUGAUGGAGGCAAGUUCAUUGCAGUAGUAUUCAGAGGCACUUCUUGAGAUGACGAAUGAAUUGCUAAACCGAAGCCAGGCUGCACACUCAUCGAUAUGGCUCCUAUGCUGGGACGAAUGGGAUGAUGUGGUGAGAACAGAAACAUCUAUUAUAGAAUGCCGUAGGAAAGCGAGGAGGAAAAGUAGAGGCAAAUGUUCCUCAUGAUCUUUUUACUAGUGCUGAUCACUGACUAAGGAUGAAAUUGUCGUGUUAUGAUGGAAUGAAUUACCUUACGGUAACUCAUUUCUUUUGAUUCAUCGUCCUUAACAUAUGUCUUUUUCUUUUGUCUUAGAGCCGAUGAUUAAGCUUUGGCUUGACCAUCUCCUCCUUCACCAACUCUGGAAUAUAAUGAGCCAUAUGUCCGAACAGCAUUCUGCCGGCAGAAUUUUGAUUUCAGAACAUCAGCAUCAUCGGUUGACUGCAUAACUUAACUUAUAGAUGUUCGAAUUAACAAGCUAGCUGCAAGAGCCUGCCCCAAUUUACAAUUAAUUUCUUUUUUUAU